Molecule: long non-coding RNA, 193 nt
Organism: Bombina bombina (fire-bellied toad)
Lineage: Eukaryota; Metazoa; Chordata; Amphibia; Anura; Bombinatoridae
Exons: 3
Source: RefSeq, a predicted model, not a curated record
CUUUCGUCAUCUUCGAUAACAACACAUAGUUUAGGAUCAGCGGAUACAUUGCCUGAUAUUCCCUGCAGUACACCCGUUGACAAUGCCAGAAAUUCGAGAGAAGUCAUGAAUAUCUUCAAUCAAAUUAUAUCCGGAGGUAUAGAAGAAGGUAACGAAGAAGAAAACACACAAGAUGAUAUUAGUAGUGGGGAAA